GAUGAACGCUGGCGGCGUGCUUAACACAUGCAAGUCGAACGGUGAAGGCGGAGCUUGCUCUGCUGGAUCAGUGGCGAACGGGUGAGUAACACGUGAGCAAUCUGCCCCUGACUCUAGGAUAAGCGCUGGAAACGGCGUCUAAUACUGGAUACGAGCUGCGAAGGCAUCUUCAGCAGCUGGAAAGAAUUUCGGUCAGGGAUGAGCUCGCGGCCUAUCAGCUUGUUGGUGAGGUAAUGGCUCACCAAGGCGUCGACGGGUAGCCGGCCUGAGAGGGUGACCGGCCACACUGGGACUGAGACACGGCCCAGACUCCUACGGGAGGCAGCAGUGGGGAAUAUUGCACAAUGGGCGAAAGCCUGAUGCAGCAACGCCGCGUGAGGGACGACGGCCUUCGGGUUGUAAACCUCUUUUAGCAGGGAAGAAGCGAAAGUGACGGUACCUGCAGAAAAAGCGCCGGCUAACUACGUG
This 468-nucleotide ribosomal RNA is filed under the name uncultured bacterium. Its description in RNAcentral is "partial 16S ribosomal RNA". It matches the Rfam family "Bacterial small subunit ribosomal RNA", at positions 28 to 507 of the family's 1533-position model. The record is from RNAcentral.